CCUGGUUGAUCUUGCCAGUAGUCAUAUGCUUGUCUCAAAGAUUAAGCCAUGCAAGUGAAAGUAUAUAUAUAUUUUAUAUGUAGAAACUGCGAACGGCUCAUUAAAACAGUUAUAGUCUACUUGACAUUUUUAUUAUAAGGAUAACUACGGAAAAGCUGUAGCUAAUACUUGCUUUAUUAUCCUUUGAUUUUUAUCUUUGGAUAAGUAUUUGUUAGGCCUUAUAAGAAAAAAGUUAUUAACUUAAGGAAUUAUAACAAAGAAGUAACACGUAAUAAAUUUAUUUUAUUUAGUGUAUAUCAAUCGAGUUUCUGACCUAUCAGCUUUUGAUGUUAGGGUAUUGGCCUAACAUGGCUAUGACGGGUAACGGGGAAUUAGAGUUCGAUUCCGGAGAGGGAGCCUGAGAAAUAGCUACCACAUCUAAGGAAGGCAGCAGGCGCGUAAAUUACCCAAUUCUAAAGAAGAGAGGUAGUGACAAGAAAUAACAAUGCAAGGCCAAUUUUUGGUUUUGUAAUUGGAAUGGUGGGAAUUUAAAACCUUCCCAGAGUAACAAUUGGAGGGCAAGUCUGGUGCCAGCAGCCGCGGUAAUUCCAGCUCCAAUAGCGUAUAUUAAAAUUGUUGCAGUUAAAACGCUCGUAGUUGAAUUUCAAAGAAUCGAUAUUUUAUUGUAACUAUUCUAGGGGAACUAUUUUAGCUUUUCGCUUUAAUACGCUUCCUUUAUUAUUAUGUUCUUUAAAUAACAAAGAUUCUUUUUAAAAUCCCCACUUUGCUUUUGCUUUUUGGGGAUUUUGUUACUUUGAGUAAAUUAGAGUGUUCAAAGCAAACAGUUAAAGCAUUUACUGUGUUUGAAUACUAUAGCAUGGAAUAACAAAAUUGAACAAGCUAAAAUUUUUUGUUCUUUUUUCUUAUUUUGGCUUAGUUACGAUUAAUAGGAGUAGCUUGGGGACAUUCGUAUUCAGAUGUCAGAGGUGAAAUUCUUAGAUUUUCUGGAGACGAACAACUGCGAAAGCAUUUGUCUAAAAUACUUCCAUUAAUCAAGAACGAAAGUUAAGGGAGUGAAGACGAUCAGAUACCGUCGUAAUCUUAACCAUAAACUAUGCCGACUAGGUGUUGGAUGAAAGUGUUAAAAAUAAAAGUCAUCUUUCGAGGUGACUUUUAGAUUGCUUCCUUCAGUACCUUAUGAGAAAUCAAAGUCUUUGGGUUCUGGGGCGAGUAUUCGCGCAAGCGAGAAAGUUAAAAGAAUUGACGGAAGGGCACCACCAGGCGUGGAGCUUGCGGCUUAAUUUGACUCAACACGGGGAAACUCACUAGUUUAAGACAAGAGUAGGAUUGACAGAUUAAUAGCUCUUUCUUGAUUUCUUGGAUGGUGAUGCAUGGCCGUUUUUAGUUCGUGAAUAUGAUUUGUCUGGUUAAUUCCGAUAACGAACGAGAUCUUAACCUGCUAAUUAGCGGCGAGUACACUAUAUUCUUAUUUGAAAUUGAACAUAGGUAACUAUACAUUUAUUAAGUAAUCAAAUUAGGAUAUUUUUAUUAAAAUAUCCUUUUCCCUGUUCUACUAAUAAUUUGUUUUUUACUCUAUUUCUCUCUUCUUUUAAGAAUGUACUUGCUUGAUUGAAAAGCUUCUUAGAGGAACAUUGUGUGUCUAACACAAGGAAGUUUAAGGCAACAACAGGUCUGUGAUGUCCUUAGAUGAACUAGGCUGCACGCGUGCUACACUGAUAUAUAUAACGAGUUUUUAAAAAUAUGCUUAUAUUUGUAUCUUUGAUGCUUAUAUUUUGCAUACUUUUCCUCCGCCGAAAGGUGUAGGUAAUCUUUAUCAAUAUAUAUCGUGAUGGGGAUAGAUUAUUGCAAUUAUUAAUCUUGAACGAGGAAUGCCUAGUAAGCAUGAUUCAUCAGAUUGUGCUGACUACGUCCCUGCCCUUUGUACACACCGCCCGUCGCUCCUACCGAUUGAAAGAUAUGAUGAAUUGUUUGGACAAGAAAAAUUGAAUUAUAUUCUUUUUUUUCUGGAAAAACCGUAAAUCCUAUCUUUUAAAGGAAGGAGAAGUCGUAACAAGGUUUCCGUAGGUGAACCUGCGGAAG
RNAcentral lists this ribosomal RNA (2079 nucleotides) under Plasmodium falciparum RO-33. Its description in RNAcentral is "SSU rRNA". It matches the Rfam family "Eukaryotic small subunit ribosomal RNA". Lineage: Eukaryota; Apicomplexa; Aconoidasida; Haemosporida; Plasmodiidae. The record is from RNAcentral.